GCCUGGCUCAGUUGGUAGAGCAUGUGACUCUUGAUCUCAGGUUCUUGUGAGUUCAAGCCCCACAUUGGGCA
RNAcentral lists this transfer RNA (71 nucleotides) under Felis catus (domestic cat). It matches the Rfam family "tRNA". Rfam says of the family: Transfer RNA (tRNA) molecules are approximately 80 nucleotides in length. Their secondary structure includes four short double-helical elements and three loops (D, anti-codon, and T loops). Further hydrogen bonds mediate the characteristic L-shaped molecular structure. tRNAs have two regions of fundamental functional importance: the anti-codon, which is responsible for specific mRNA codon recognition, and the 3' end, to which the tRNAs corresponding amino acid is attached (by aminoacyl-tRNA synthetases). tRNAs cope with the degeneracy of the genetic code in two manners: having more than one tRNA (with a specific anti-codon) for a particular amino acid; and 'wobble' base-pairing, i.e. permitting non-standard base-pairing at the 3rd anti-codon position. Lineage: Eukaryota; Metazoa; Chordata; Mammalia; Carnivora; Felidae. The record is from Rfam by way of RNAcentral. RNAcentral also lists the same sequence under 4 other names.